Molecule: ribosomal RNA, 492 nt
Filed under: uncultured bacterium
Lineage: Bacteria
Description: partial 16S ribosomal RNA
Rfam family: Bacterial small subunit ribosomal RNA
Source: RNAcentral
AGUGAACGCUGGCGGUAGGCCUAACACAUGCAAGUCGAACGGCAGCACAGUAAGAGCUUGCUCUUACGGGUGGCGAGUGGCGGACGGGUGAGGAAUACAUCGGAAUCUACUUUUUCGUGGGGGAUAACGUAGGGAAACUUACGCUAAUACCGCAUACGACCUACGGGUGAAAGCAGGGGAUCUUCGGACCUUGCGCGAUUGAAUGAGCCGCUGUCGGGUUAGCUAGUUGGCGGGGUUAAGGCCCACCAAGGCGACGAUCCGUAGCUGGUCUGAGAGGAUGAUAGGCCACACGGGAACGUAGACAGGGUCCAGACUCCUACGGGAGGCAGCAGUGGGGAAUAUUGGACAAUGGGCGCAAGCCUGAUCCAGCCAUACCGCGUGGGUGAAGAAGGCCUUCGGGUUGUAAAGACCUUUUGUUGGGAAAGAAAAGCAGCAGGUUAAUACCCCGCUGUUCUGACGGUACCCAAAGAAUAAGCACCGGCUAACUUCGUG